AUGCACACUAAUUGAAUUACUUAUUUAUUUCACGAAUGGGCGUGAUGUUUCUACAAGGUGCCGGAACACCUAACAAUAAGUAAGUCGAGAGAAAUC
Molecule: non-coding RNA, 96 nt
Filed under: Streptococcus sp.
Lineage: Bacteria; Bacillati; Bacillota; Bacilli; Lactobacillales; Streptococcaceae
Description: Guanine sequence
Rfam family: Purine riboswitch aptamer
About the family: Riboswitches are metabolite binding domains within certain messenger RNAs that serve as precision sensors for their corresponding targets.
Source: RNAcentral